RNAcentral lists this ribosomal RNA (650 nucleotides) under uncultured bacterium. RNAcentral describes it as "bacterial SSU rRNA". It matches the Rfam family "Bacterial small subunit ribosomal RNA", at positions 42 to 675 of the family's 1533-position model. The record is from RNAcentral.
UCAGGCCUAACAUAUGCAAGUCGAGCGGACAGAAGGGAGCUUGCUCCCGGAUGUUAGCGGCGGACGGGUGAGUAACACGUGGGUAACCUGCCUGUAAGACUGGGAUAACUCCGGGAAACCGGAGCUAAUACCGGAUAGUUCCUUGAACCGCAUGGUUCAAGGAUGAAAGACGGUUUCGGCUGUCACUUACGGAUGGACCCGCGGCGCAUUAGCUAGUUGGUGGGGUAAUGGCUCACCAAGGCGACGAUGCGUAGCCGACCUGAGAGGGUGAUCGGCCACACUGGGACUGAGACACGGCCCAGACUCCUACGGGAGGCAGCAGUAGGGAAUCUUCCGCAAUGGACGAAAGUCUGACGGAGCAACGCCGCGUGAGUGAUGAAGGUUUUCGGAUCGUAAAGCUCUGUUGUUAGGGAAGAACAAGUGCGAGAGUAACUGCUCGCACCUUGACGGUACCUAACCAGAAAGCCACGGCUAACUACGUGCCAGCAGCCGCGGUAAUACGUAGGUGGCAAGCGUUGUCCGGAAUUAUUGGGCGUAAAGGGCUCGCAGGCGGUUUCUUAAGUCUGAUGUGAAAGCCCCCGGCUCAACCGGGGAGGGUCAUUGGAAACUGGGAAACUUGAGUGCAGAAGAGGAGAGUGGAAUUCCACGUG